GAGCCAUCUUGGAUGACGGGUCGAAACAACAAUUGUUUUACUAUGACUCCUUUCAGCUGCCCACCUCUCCUUUUCCUGUAAAAAAUAAAUAAAUAAACGGCUAAUACAAUUAUUGAGGUGGCGUUUUGAAAAGAGAUAACUUACAUUUUAUUAGUACAUGGUACAAAGAUGAUUAUGAGCCUUUGAUUGAUAUCCAGACUUUUUUUGCGGAGACACAUUCCUGUUACCAAUCCCCACUUGGAGUGAACGGAGAUAUCUACUUGGCCGCUGAGCACUGGUGGAUUGUGGAAGUUUGCACUGCUCCUGGGGACCUAGGGUGUGACCACGAGGGUUUGCUCACCUUCCUCUGGUGAAGAGGAACCAAGCGGCGAGCGAGUGAGGAGCGCCUUUGUUCUCUUUCCGCUGACUUUCGCAGACUUUCCACGGACCUUCACGGACGUUCAUGGACAGUCAUUCUCCUGGACGUCAGACCUUGUCGUCACGGUUGCGACGGAGUUUCUCCUACUUGGUAAAAAUGUUCUGGGAAGCAGUUGAGUUCGUCGGCUAUUACUUCACGACAAUAGUGGAGAUAGAUCGUUGGGGUAAAAUUGUCCCUGGAUCAUCACGGUUCCCUGAUGACAGAGAUCCUCCAGGUGGCGGGCGCAUGGGCAGGAUAUACUACAGGGGAGGGCCCGAUCCCCCACCAAUGGGAUGAGGAAGGUAAACGCCUACACAUCCAGUGUAGGCGAUGGGCGCAUGGCAUGUUAACAUGUCUGCAAUCAUGGUCAUUGGUUGCCUCUGCCGUUGGCAGAUUUUGAUGCCAUCCUGGGAAUUCCUACAUUGUAGGGGCCAGGCUGGCUGAUGUGGCAGCCGACUUCAGCUCUGCUCUAUCCGCUCACUUGCCUUCAUUCUUUCUGCUUCUCACCAUUUACUAACCCGGUUGUUCAUUUCAAACCAUGAAAUAUACAUUGAUGAUGAAGUUAUGAUGUUGAGUUAUGUAUACAUAUAAACAGCUAAAUUACUAUUUACAUCACAACUGUUUAUUUGAGAACUUUCAAUUUGACUUUCGUCCUCACCACAGCACUUAUACAGCGCUAGUUAAAGUUGUUAAUGACCUAAGAAUGAACAUGGGUGACAAGAAACUGUCAAUAUUAGUACUUUUAGACUUAAGUGCUGCUUUUGACACAGUCAAUCAUGACUACAGCAUUAUGUUGGCCUCUUCGGUUCAGUUUUAGACUGGUUUAGGACUUAUUUGUCCGGCAGAGACUAUUUUGUUUCCAUUGGUGACCAUUUCUUGGCUAACACUAGCAUAAGAUGUGGGGUUCCUCAAGGCUCCAUUUUGGGACCUGUCCUGUUUAAUCUGUAUAUACUACCACUGGGAAAUAUCAUCAGAGAACACAGGUUUCGUUUUCAUAGCAAUGCCGUAUACAUACAACUUUACAUAUCUUUAUCACCCAAUGACAUCAGCCCUAUCGAUAAACUGGUUGAAUGCAUUGAUCAUAUCGACCUGUGGAUGACAAGUUAUUUCCUACAAUUGAACAAAGAUAAGACAGAGGUCUUAAAUAUCGGGGCAAAGGACCAGAGAGAGAUACUGUGUACUAAUUUAAAAUCCCUGGUACAAAACGCCAAGCCCCUAGCAAACCUCUUAUGUAUGAUUGGUAACUGUGAUAUGCGUAGUAUUUUUUUAUGAUUGGUAUGAUUGUAGUCCCUGAUUUGAAUUUUAAAUCUCACAUUAGUAAUGUAACGAAAACCGCUUUCUAUCACCUUAGAAAUAUUGCUUAAGUGCAACCGCUUCUCUCCCAGGCAGAUACUAAGAGACUAAUGCAUGCUUUUAUUAGCAGGCUUGAUUAAUGUAAUGCACUCCUAUCUGGCCUUCCUCAAAAAGCUACAAAAAGAGGCCACAGAUCAUACAGAAUGCAGCAGCACGUGUACUAACCAAGACCAGAAUAAGAGCACACCUCUCACCUGUCUUAAAGUCCCUUCAUUGGUUGCCUGUCAGAUUUAGAAUAGAUUUUAAAAUCCAUUGUAGUGUACAAAACACUCAAUGGAUUAGCGCCCGAAUACCUACACACUACAGCACUACAUUAUUCUAGUGUAUUCCCCCUCUAGAUCCUUAGGGUCCUCUGGCACGGGCAUUUUAGUUGUUUCCCGGGUGAGGACAGGGACCUACGGGGAGGCGGCUUUAAGUGUCAAUGGUCCUCGCCUCUGGAACAGCCUCCCACAGGAGCUGAGGACUUCACAAUCUGUAACCACAUUCAGAAGUAACCCUAAGACAUACCUAUUUCGCUGAGCGAAAUAGGUCUGUGUAUCACCAAGUGAUAUAGAUAGAUACAUUUUGUGAUCUAUAAACAUAGAGAGCGAUAUUUUUUUUUAUACUAUUGUUUUGCUUAUAUUAUCAUUUAUUUUCACUGUAAUGUUGUAUUCAAAUUGUACUGCUGUAUCUUUUUGCUGUUCUGUUAAGCACCUUGUAUUGUAACUUUGCACGAAAGGCGAUAUAUAAAUAAAGUUUGUAUUAUCUCA
This is a long non-coding RNA of Gadus macrocephalus (Pacific cod), 2499 nucleotides long. RefSeq lists it as uncharacterized. The transcript has 5 exons. The record is from RefSeq and is a predicted model, not a curated record. NCBI's taxonomy places the organism in Eukaryota, Metazoa, Chordata, Actinopteri, Gadiformes, Gadidae.